This 426-nucleotide ribosomal RNA is filed under the name uncultured archaeon. RNAcentral describes it as "bacterial SSU rRNA". It matches the Rfam family "Archaeal small subunit ribosomal RNA", at positions 474 to 903 of the family's 1478-position model. The record is from RNAcentral.
UACCUGCAGCUCAAGUGGUGGCCGUUAUUAUUGGGCCUAAAACGUCCGUAGCCGGUUUAUUAAAUGCCUGGGUAAAUCGGGCCGCUUAACGGUUCGAAUUCCGGGUAGACUGAUAGACUUGGGACCGGGAGAAGCUAGAGGUACUCCUGGGGUAGAGGUGAAAUCCUGUAAUCCUAGGGGGACCACCAGUGGCGAAGGCGUCUAGCUAGAACGGGUCUGACGGUGAGGGACGAAGCCCUGGGGCGCAAACCGGAUUAGAUACCCGGGUAGUCCAGGGUGUAAACGCUGCUUGCUUGAUGUUAGUCGGGCUCCGAGCCCGAUUAGUGUCGGAGAGAAGUUGUUAAGCAAGCUGCCUGGGAGUACGGCCGCAAGACUGAAACUUAAGGAAUUGGCGGGGAGCACAGCAACGGGUGGAGCGUGCGGUUU